This 334-nucleotide ribosomal RNA is filed under the name Enterobacter hormaechei. RNAcentral's name for it is "bacterial SSU rRNA". It matches the Rfam family "Bacterial small subunit ribosomal RNA", at positions 110 to 447 of the family's 1533-position model. The record is from RNAcentral. Lineage: Bacteria; Pseudomonadati; Pseudomonadota; Gammaproteobacteria; Enterobacterales; Enterobacteriaceae.
GUAAUGUCUGGGAAACUGCCUGAUGGAGGGGGAUAACUACUGGAAACGGUAGCUAAUACCGCAUAACGUCGCAAGACCAAAGAGGGGGACCUUCGGGCCUCUUGCCAUCGGAUGUGCCCAGAUGGGAUUAGCUAGUAGGUGGGGUAACGGCUCACCUAGGCGACGAUCCCUAGCUGGUCUGAGAGGAUGACCAGCCACACUGGAACUGAGACACGGUCCAGACUCCUACGGGAGGCAGCAGUGGGGAAUAUUGCACAAUGGGCGCAAGCCUGAUGCAGCCAUGCCGCGUGUAUGAAGAAGGCCUUCGGGUUGUAAAGUACUUUCAGCGGGGAGG